CUCUCUUCUUAAAGUUCUGGAGUCUAAUUUACCAUCCAUUCUUCUGUCCAACGCCAUGGGCCAUGACUACAGAGAAUAAGCUUGAUCCCGGGGUUGAGAGAUGAAGAAAUAGGUGAAAGAAGGAAAAUUAUAACCGAGAAGACCUAUCCAUAAAUAAGGUCUCUGUGUUCAGAUAUCAGGUCCGAAUCCAGUUGCUCUACGGACACCAAGGUUGACAUCACAUGAAUUUGAGAUUUCUAGCUAAUGAAUGGAACUUACUUGCAUUAACGUUAGAAGAUAUAUUUGUGUUUUGUACAAAAAGUAAUGGUACAUAAAAUACAUUUUGUAUGUACAGCUCUAAUGCAAUGGCAAUUAAGAUACUAGCCUUUACUGAAAAACUUUAGGUAGAUUUGUAUACCAAAUGAAUCAUGUUUGGCCCAACCUUGCUAGUUGUAAUUAAAGUAGAAGAUAGAGAAAAUACUCAAGUAUGUGUCCUGAGUAGAUUAUCUACUCAUGUCAUGACCUUAA
Non-coding RNA from Nicotiana tabacum (common tobacco), 507 nucleotides. NCBI's taxonomy places the organism in Eukaryota, Viridiplantae, Streptophyta, Magnoliopsida, Solanales, Solanaceae. The record is from RefSeq and is a predicted model, not a curated record.